GGGCUGGUAGUUCAGCUGGGAGAACGCGUCGUUCGCAACGACGAGGUCGCGGGUUCAAAUCCCGCCCAGUCCA
RNAcentral lists this transfer RNA (73 nucleotides) under Candidatus Omnitrophota bacterium. RNAcentral's name for it is "Candidatus Omnitrophica bacterium tRNA-Ala". It matches the Rfam family "tRNA". From Rfam's summary of the family: Transfer RNA (tRNA) molecules are approximately 80 nucleotides in length. Their secondary structure includes four short double-helical elements and three loops (D, anti-codon, and T loops). Lineage: Bacteria; Pseudomonadati; Candidatus Omnitrophota. The record is from RNAcentral.